UACGUAGGGUGCAAGCGUUGUCCGGAAUUAUUGGGCGUAAAGAGCUCGUAGGCGGUUCGUCACGUCGGCUGUGAAAUCCCGAGGCUCAACCUCGGGUCUGCAGUCGAUACGGGCGGACUGGAGUACUGCAGGGGAGACUGGAAUUCCUGGUGUAGCGGUGAAAUGCGCAGAUAUCAGGAGGAACACCGGUGGCGAAGGCGGGUCUCUGGGCAGUAACUGACGCUGAGGAGCGAAAGCGUGGGGAGCAAACAGG
RNAcentral lists this ribosomal RNA (253 nucleotides) under uncultured bacterium. RNAcentral describes it as "partial 16S ribosomal RNA". It matches the Rfam family "Bacterial small subunit ribosomal RNA", at positions 524 to 776 of the family's 1533-position model. The record is from RNAcentral.